AUUGAACGCUGGCGGCAUGCCUUACACAUGCAAGUCGAACGGCAGCACGGGAGCAAUCCUGGUGGCGAGUGGCGAACGGGUGAGUAAUAUAUCGGAACGUGCCCAGUCGUGGGGAUAACGUAGCGAAAGCUACGCUAAUACCGCAUACGAUCUAUGGAUGAAAGCGGGGGAUCGCAAGACCUCGCGCGAUUGGAGCGGCCGAUAUCAGAUUAGGUAGUUGGUGAGGUAAAGGCUCACCAAGCCGACGAUCUGUAGCUGGUCUGAGAGGACGACCAGCCACACUGGGACUGAGACACGGCCCAGACUCCUACGGGAGGCAGCAGUGGGGGAAUUUUUGGGACAAUGGGCGCAAGCCUGAUCCAGCAAUGCCGCGUGCAGGAUGAAGGCCUUCGGUUGGUAACUAGCUUUGUUACGGU
This 416-nucleotide ribosomal RNA is filed under the name uncultured bacterium. Its description in RNAcentral is "bacterial SSU rRNA". It matches the Rfam family "Bacterial small subunit ribosomal RNA", at positions 30 to 444 of the family's 1533-position model. The record is from RNAcentral.